Molecule: ribosomal RNA, 732 nt
Filed under: Raoultella sp.
Lineage: Bacteria; Pseudomonadati; Pseudomonadota; Gammaproteobacteria; Enterobacterales; Enterobacteriaceae
Description: bacterial SSU rRNA
Rfam family: Bacterial small subunit ribosomal RNA
Source: RNAcentral
UUGAUGAACUGGCGGCAGGCCUAACACAUGCAAGUCGAGCGGUAGCACAGGAGAGCUUGCUCUCCGGGUGACGAGCGGCGGACGGGUGAGUAAUGUCUGGGAAACUGCCUGAUGGAGGGGGAUAACUACUGGAAACGGUAGCUAAUACCGCAUAACGUCGCAAGACCAAAGUGGGGGACCUUCGGGCCUCAUGCCAUCAGAUGUGCCCAGAUGGGAUUAGCUAGUAGGUGGGGUAAUGGCUCACCUAGGCGACGAUCCCUAGCUGGUCUGAGAGGAUGACCAGCCACACUGGAACUGAGACACGGUCCAGACUCCUACGGGAGGCAGCAGUGGGGAAUAUUGCACAAUGGGCGCAAGCCUGAUGCAGCCAUGCCGCGUGUAUGAAGAAGGCCUUCGGGUUGUAAAGUACUUUCAGCGAGGAGGAAGGCAUUAAGGUUAAUAACCUUAGUGAUUGACGUUACUCGCAGAAGAAGCACCGGCUAACUCCGUGCCAGCAGCCGCGGUAAUACGGAGGGUGCAAGCGUUAAUCGGAAUUACUGGGCGUAAAGCGCACGCAGGCGGUUUGUUAAGUCAGAUGUGAAAUCCCCGGGCUCAACCUGGGAACUGCAUUUGAAACUGGCAAGCUUGAGUCUUGUAGAGGGGGGUAGAAUUCCAGGUGUAGCGGUGAAAUGCGUAGAGAUCUGGAGGAAUACCGGUGGCGAAGGCGGCCCCCUGGACAAAGACUGACGCUCA